Molecule: ribosomal RNA, 277 nt
Filed under: uncultured bacterium
Lineage: Bacteria
Description: partial 16S ribosomal RNA
Rfam family: Bacterial small subunit ribosomal RNA
Source: RNAcentral
GACAAACGCUGGCGGCGUGCCUAAAACAUGCAAGUCGGACGGCCCGCGAGGGCAGUGGCAGACGGCUGAGGAACGCGUAGGAACCUGCCCUCCAGUGGGGGAUACCGGUCCGAAAGGGCCGUUAAUCCCGCAUACGGUCCCGGGGGGACCCGGGAAGAAAGCCUUGGGCGCUGGAGGAGGGGCCUGCGUCCGAUUAGCUGGUUGGUAGGGUAACGGCCUACCAAGGCGAUGAUCGGUAGCUGGUCUGAGAGGAUGGCCAGCCAGACUGGGACUGAGA